UACAGAGGUCCCAAGCGUUGUUCGGAUUCACUGGGCGUAAAGGGUGCGUAGGUGGUGGGGUAAGUCGGAUGUGAAAUCUCCGAGCUCAACUCGGAAAUGGCAUUGGAAACUACCCUGCUAGAGGGUCGGAGGGGGGACUGGAAUGCUUGGUGUAGCAGUGAAAUGCGUAGAUAUCAAGCGGAACACCAGUGGCGAAGGCGAGUCCCUGGACGACUCCUGACACUGAGGCACGAAAGCUAGGGGAGCAAACGGG
RNAcentral lists this ribosomal RNA (253 nucleotides) under uncultured bacterium. Its description in RNAcentral is "partial 16S ribosomal RNA". It matches the Rfam family "Bacterial small subunit ribosomal RNA", at positions 524 to 776 of the family's 1533-position model. The record is from RNAcentral.